UACGAAGGGGGCUAGCGUUGUUCGGAUUUACUGGGCAUAAAGCGCACGUAGGCGGAUCGUUAAGUCGGGGGUGAAAUCCUGGAGCUCAACUCCAGAACUGCCUUCGAUACUGGCGAUCUUGAGUCCGGAAGAGGUGAGUGGAACUCCUAGUGUAGAGGUGGAAUUCGUAGAUAUUAGGAAGAACACCAGUGGCGAAGGCGGCUCACUGGUCCGGUACUGACGCUGAGGAGCGAAAGCGUGGGGAGCAAACAGG
This 253-nucleotide ribosomal RNA is filed under the name uncultured bacterium. RNAcentral's name for it is "partial 16S ribosomal RNA". It matches the Rfam family "Bacterial small subunit ribosomal RNA", at positions 524 to 776 of the family's 1533-position model. The record is from RNAcentral.